RNAcentral lists this ribosomal RNA (758 nucleotides) under Chondria scintillans. RNAcentral describes it as "eukaryotic LSU rRNA". It matches the Rfam family "Eukaryotic large subunit ribosomal RNA", at positions 311 to 1145 of the family's 3401-position model. Lineage: Eukaryota; Rhodophyta; Florideophyceae; Ceramiales; Rhodomelaceae. The record is from RNAcentral.
UAAGGCUAAAUACUGGUGGGAGACCGAUAGCAAACAAGUACCGUGAGGGAAAGUUUAAAAGCACUUUGAAAAGAGAGUGAAAAGAACCUGAAACCGUUACGUAGAAAAGGAACUGCAGCAGAGUGAAGGGCGCUUUCUGUUCAGCCUAGUUUUCUAGGUGUACUCAGGAAUGUUUUGCCCGCCAGCCGUGAGCUUCUGAUGGUCGAUUUUCGACUUUCAGGGGUGGAGGGCUCCCUUUCGAGGUGAGGACGUGCUGGAUAAUGCUGCGAUUCCACCCGUCUUGAAACACGGACCAAGAAGUGGAGCAUAUAUGCGAGUCGAAGGGUGUUUAAACCUGAUGGCGCAGUGAAAGCGACUGUAGAACUUGCAGUUUGCGGCGGCAUACGAUCUUUGAUCGUAGGUCCGACCUAGAGCAUAUAUGCUCCGACCCGAAAGAUGGUGAACUAUACUUGGGUAGGGUGAAGCCAGGAGAAAUCCUGGUGGAAGCUCGUAGCGGUGCUGACGUGCAAAUCGCUCGUCCAACCUGAGUAUAGGGGCGAAAGACUAAUCGAACCAUCUGGUAGCUGGUUUCCUCCGAAGUUUCUCUCAGGAUAGCGGACCAAAAUAAUGUUGUUAUGCGCGGUAAAGCGAAUGAUUAGCGUUUUGGGGGAAUUCUUUUCCUCCUGGCGAUUCUCAAACUUUAAAUGCGCAUGGAGGGUGCUGCUUCGGUGAGCGCUCUCGUUAAAAACAUUUGGUUCCGUGGGCCACUUUUGGUAAGC